CUAAGCAGGGCUGUCAGUAAAGUCUUAGAGGGGUGGUGGGCUGGGUGAGACUUUUAGCAAUUUGUUAACAAAAAAUUAGCUAAAUUCUUCUUACCCAUUUUCCCCCGCAAAGUGAGUCAGCGUUUAUGUCCCUUCUGUUCUUGGAAAUAUCCGUCUGUCUUUAGAUUUUAAGUUAGAUGAUUGGCCUGUGACCCCAGUUUCUGGACACCAUCGGCACCACCACUCUGCCAAUCUUGGAGUCUCAAAAUGUGGAGCCAUUCUUGACGCUGACCUCGCUCAUCCUUCAUAUUCAAUCAGUCAACAAGUCAGUCCAGUGUCUACCAUAUCCUUCACUUCUAUCUCCUCCUUU
RNAcentral lists this long non-coding RNA (349 nucleotides) under Equus asinus (donkey). Its description in RNAcentral is "lncRNA (ENSEASG00005031159.1)". The record is from RNAcentral. Lineage: Eukaryota; Metazoa; Chordata; Mammalia; Perissodactyla; Equidae.